UACGGGGGGGGCAAGCGUUGUUCGGAAUUACUGGGCGUAAAGGGCUCGUAGGCGGCCAACUAAGUCAGACGUGAAGUCCCUCGGCUUAACCGGGGAACUGCCUCUGAUACUGGAUGGCUUGAGAUUGGGAGAGGGAUGCGGAAUUCCAGGUGUAGCGGUGAAAUGCGUAGAUAUCUGGAGGAGCACCGGUGGCGAAGGCGGCAUCCUGGACCAACACUGACGCUGAGGAGCGAAAGCUAGGGGAGCAAACAGG
RNAcentral lists this ribosomal RNA (253 nucleotides) under uncultured bacterium. Its description in RNAcentral is "partial 16S ribosomal RNA". It matches the Rfam family "Bacterial small subunit ribosomal RNA", at positions 524 to 776 of the family's 1533-position model. The record is from RNAcentral.